This 276-nucleotide ribosomal RNA is filed under the name uncultured bacterium. RNAcentral's name for it is "partial 16S ribosomal RNA". It matches the Rfam family "Bacterial small subunit ribosomal RNA", at positions 79 to 353 of the family's 1533-position model. The record is from RNAcentral.
CUAAGUUUGAUGGCGACCGGCGGCACGGGUGAGUAACACGUAUCCAACCUGCCGAUGACUCGGGGAUAGCCUUUCGAAAGAAAGAUUAAUACCCGAUGGCAUAGUUCUUCCGCAUGGUGGAACUAUUAAAGAAUUUCGGUCAUCGAUGGGGAUGCGUUCCAUUAGGUUGUUGGCGGGGUAACGGCCCACCAAGCCUUCGAUGGAUAGGGGUUCUGAGAGGAAGGUCCCCCACAUUGGAACUGAGACACGGUCCAAACUCCUACGGGAGGCAGCAUG